CCUUGGGCAAGUCGCUAUCUUUCCCUCCGCCUCAGUUUCCCUGCCCAGAGCAGGGCAACAGUGGGAAGCCCGAUUGUUCCUGAAAUACUUUCACCAAAUGCUUCACUCCUGGGAAUUCCCGUCACCUCCUACCGAGUCCGGGCGCCGCAGGUAGCCCCACCCUCCGCCAGGGCAAAUCGGAAGGGGCUCCGCGGUGGGGCCGCGACUCCCGGCCCCCGCCCCAACCGUGGGAGCUCUGCGCGCGACGCGUCCCAGGUGGCCCCGCUAUUGUUUUACCUUCCAGGGUGUUUAUUUCUCGCUGAUUGUAAAGAAAAGAGACCGGGGAAGAAGGGAGUCCGGGCUCCGCUUUCCGCUGCCGGAGCGCGCUCGCCGCGUGCCCGCCCAGCCAGGGGAGGGGUCUCGGGCCCGACCCCGAGCGGAGCUGGCGCGGGCCCGCUCCCCCUCCCUGCCUCCCUCUCCGGGGCCCCCGGAUCCCCUCGCUGCAGCCCUCUCCGGGCGCCGCCCGCGCCCGCCGAGCCUGACCUCGCCCGUGGCCCUCUCCCUCCGCGCGCGUCCGUCCGUCCGUCGGUCCGUCCGGGCGCACGCCUCAGGGGACGCGCCGCUUCCUCUUCUCCCGCAACGGCACCAGCAGCCGCGCUGCGCCCUCCCGAGUCCCCGCCCCUCCAGCUCCAGCCCGGCCAGCUGCACUCAGCUAGGCGAGCGCGGGGCCAGGGCGGCGGCCACGGAGAGCGACCCGGUCCCGCCCUCGGCCCCGCCCCGGAGACGCGAGUCCGGGCUCCGGGCCUGGCGGGGGGCACGCGAGUGGCCGGGAGCACCGGGGGCACCGGAGGACCUGGGCAGCGCUGGCGUGUGGGCCGAGGAGCCCGCAAAGUUAAUCAGGGCUUCACACCCAGACUCCGGGGCCGCCUGCGAGAUGUACAGGCCCUUCCCAAAGCCCAGCCGGCGACCCAUAACCUGGGAAGCCCGCGGCACAGAAGCUCGUCCUUUCUCCUGGAAACAAAAACAAAGCCCUUUGCUGGAGACUUGAAUCUGUUCAUGCAGUGGAACCCCAUAUUGCACUUCACUCUUGGAUAG
Molecule: long non-coding RNA, 1074 nt
Filed under: Macaca fascicularis (crab-eating macaque)
Lineage: Eukaryota; Metazoa; Chordata; Mammalia; Primates; Cercopithecidae
Description: lncRNA (ENSMFAG00000055877.1)
Source: RNAcentral